AAUGUCUACCGCAUAUGUGGGAGUGUCAAACACUACGUGAGAGAGUGCCCGCGAAAUCAGAACCAGCUCAGACGUCCUAUAAAGGGCAAAAUUUACAACCUCACUCAGUAUGAUGCUGAAGCCAACCCGAAUGUAAUACAAGUUACGUACAUUAUCUAUAAUCACAUUGUACAUAUUUUGAUUGAUAAUGGUAUUUCACAUUUAUUUGUCUCACACACUUUUGCACAAAACUUAAAUAUAUUACUUGAAAGAUUUGAUUAUGUAUUAUU
Molecule: long non-coding RNA, 269 nt
Filed under: Carica papaya (papaya)
Lineage: Eukaryota; Viridiplantae; Streptophyta; Magnoliopsida; Brassicales; Caricaceae
Description: long non-coding RNA (CPAP_LNC008149)
Source: RNAcentral